GAUGAAGAACGUAGUGAAAUGCGAUAAGUAGUGUGAAUUGCAGAAUUCAGUGAAUCAUCGAAUCUUUGAACGCACAUUGCGCCCCUUGGUAUCCCGAGGGGCAUGCCUGUUCGAGCGUCAUUUCACCACUCAAGCCUGGCUUGGUGUUGGGCGACGUCCUCUUUGGGGACGCGUCUCGAAACGCUCGGCGGCGUGGCACCGGCUUUAAGCGUAGCAGAAUCUUUCGCUUUGGAAGUCGGGGCCCCGUCUGCCGGAAGACCUGCUCGCAAGGUUGACCUCGGAUCAGGCAGGGAUACCCGCUGAACUUAAGCAUAUCAAUAAGCGGAGGA
RNAcentral lists this unclassified non-coding RNA (329 nucleotides) under soil metagenome. Its description in RNAcentral is "partial contains 5.8S ribosomal RNA, internal transcribed spacer 2, and large subunit ribosomal RNA". The stretch from base 1 to 120 matches the Rfam family "5.8S ribosomal RNA", at positions 35 to 154 of the family's 154-position model. The record is from RNAcentral.